Molecule: non-coding RNA, 67 nt
Organism: Potamilus streckersoni
Lineage: Eukaryota; Metazoa; Mollusca; Bivalvia; Unionida; Unionidae
Source: the annotation of a GenBank genome assembly
GUGGCCUAGUGGUUAGAGCGUUCGCCUCAGAUGCGGGAGGUCGUGGAUUCGAUUCCCGGUUGAGUCA